This 207-nucleotide ribosomal RNA is filed under the name uncultured bacterium. RNAcentral's name for it is "partial 16S ribosomal RNA". It matches the Rfam family "Bacterial small subunit ribosomal RNA", at positions 568 to 774 of the family's 1533-position model. The record is from RNAcentral.
UGCGUAGGCGGUUUGGUAAGUCAGAUGUGAAAUUCCUGGGCUCAACCGAGGAACUGCAUUUGAUACUGCCAGACUAGAGUACUGGAGAGAAGACUGGAAUUUACGGUGUAGCAGUGAAAUGCGUAGAUAUCGUAAGGAAGGCCAGUGGCGAAGGCGAGUCUCUGGACAGUAACUGACGCUGAGGCACGAAGGCUAGGGGAGCAAACG